RNAcentral lists this ribosomal RNA (301 nucleotides) under uncultured bacterium. RNAcentral describes it as "partial 16S ribosomal RNA". It matches the Rfam family "Bacterial small subunit ribosomal RNA", at positions 509 to 808 of the family's 1533-position model. The record is from RNAcentral.
CAGUCGCCACGGUAAUACGUAGGUGGCAAGCGUUGUCCGGAAUUAUUGGGCGUAAAGCGCGCGCAGGCGGAUCAGUUAGUCUGUCUUAAAAGUUCGGGGCUUAACCCCGUGAGGGGAUGGAAACUGCUGAUCUAGAGUAUCGGAGAGGAAAGUGGAAUUCCUAGUGUAGCGGUGAAAUGCGUAGAUAUUAGGAUGAACACCAGUGGCGAAGGCGACUUUCUGGACGAAAACUGACGCUGAGGCGCGAAAGCCAGGGGAGCGAACGGGAUUAGAUACCCCUGUAGUCCCUGUCUCUUAUACC